RNAcentral lists this ribosomal RNA (1424 nucleotides) under uncultured bacterium. Its description in RNAcentral is "bacterial SSU rRNA". The stretch from base 697 to 1424 matches the Rfam family "Bacterial small subunit ribosomal RNA", at positions 1 to 727 of the family's 1533-position model. The record is from RNAcentral.
UGGCUCAGGAUGAACGCUAGCGACAGGCUUAACACAUGCAAGUCGAGGGGCAGCACAGGUAGCAAUACUGGGUGGCGACCGGCGCACGGGUGCGUAACGCGUAUGCAACCUACCUAUAAUAGGGGGAUAGCCUUCUGAAAGGGAGAUUAAGACCGCAUAAUACAACUGAAUCGCAUGGAUUAGUUGUAAAAUAUUUAUAGAUUAUAGAUGGCCAUGCGUCUGAUUAGAUAGUUGGAGAGGUAACGGCUCACCAAGUCAACGAUCAGUAGGGGUUCUGAGAGGAGGGUCCCCCACACCGGAACUGAGACACGGUCCGGACUCCUACGGGAGGCAGCAGUGAGGAAUAUUGGUCAAUGGGCGAGAGCCUGAACCAGCCAAGUCGCGUGAAGGAAGAAGGUCUUAUGGAUUGUAAACUUCUUUUAUAGGGGAAUAAAGAUGAGUACGUGUACUCAGUUGUAGGUACCCUAAGAAUAAGGAUCGGCUAACUCCGUGCCAGCAGCCGCGGUAAUACGGAGGAUCCGAGCGUUAUCCGGAUUUAUUGGGUUUAAAGGGUGCGUAGGCGGGUUGAUAAGUCAGUGGUGAAAGGUUUGCGCUCAACGUAGACAUUGCCAUUGAAACUGUCAGUCUUGAGUACAAAUGAGGUAGGCGGAAUGUGUUGUGUAGCGGUGAAAUGCAUAGAUAUGACACAGAACACCAAUUGCGAAGGCAGCUUUGGCUCAGGAUGAACGCUAGCGACAGGCUUAACACAUGCAAGUCGAGGGGCAGCACAGGUAGCAAUACUGGGUGGCGACCGGCGCACGGGUGCGUAACGCGUAUGCAACCUACCUAUAAUAGGGGGAUAGCCUUCUGAAAGGGAGAUUAAGACCGCAUAAUACAACUGAAUCGCAUGGAUUAGUUGUAAAAUAUUUAUAGAUUAUAGAUGGCCAUGCGUCUGAUUAGAUAGUUGGAGAGGUAACGGCUCACCAAGUCAACGAUCAGUAGGGGUUCUGAGAGGAGGGUCCCCCACACCGGAACUGAGACACGGUCCGGACUCCUACGGGAGGCAGCAGUGAGGAAUAUUGGUCAAUGGGCGAGAGCCUGAACCAGCCAAGUCGCGUGAAGGAAGAAGGUCUUAUGGAUUGUAAACUUCUUUUAUAGGGGAAUAAAGAUGAGUACGUGUACUCAGUUGUAGGUACCCUAAGAAUAAGGAUCGGCUAACUCCGUGCCAGCAGCCGCGGUAAUACGGAGGAUCCGAGCGUUAUCCGGAUUUAUUGGGUUUAAAGGGUGCGUAGGCGGGUUGAUAAGUCAGUGGUGAAAGGUUUGCGCUCAACGUAGACAUUGCCAUUGAAACUGUCAGUCUUGAGUACAAAUGAGGUAGGCGGAAUGUGUUGUGUAGCGGUGAAAUGCAUAGAUAUGACACAGAACACCAAUUGCGAAGGCAGCUU